This 440-nucleotide ribosomal RNA is filed under the name uncultured bacterium. RNAcentral describes it as "bacterial SSU rRNA". It matches the Rfam family "Bacterial small subunit ribosomal RNA", at positions 338 to 791 of the family's 1533-position model. The record is from RNAcentral.
CCUACGGGAGGCUGCAGUCGAGAAUCUUCCACAAUGGACGAAAGUCUGAUGGAGCGACGCCGCGUGAUUGAUGAAGCCCUUCGGGGUGUAAAUAUCUUUUAUGAGGGAAGAAGUUUAUUGACGGUACCUCAUGAAUAAGGGGUUGCUAAACUCGUGCCAGCAGCAGCGGUAAUACGAGUACCCCGAGCGUUAUCCGGAAUUAUUGGGCGUAAAGGGUGUGUAGGCGGCGAUGUUAGUCUUUCGUUAAAGCCCCGGGCUCAACCUGGGAAAGGCGAAAGAAACGGCAUUGCUAGAAUAUGUGAGAGGUAUGUGGAACUCAUGGUGUAGGGGUGAAAUCCGUUGAUAUCAUGGGGAACACCGAAUGCGAAGGCAGCAUACUGGCGCAUUAUUGACGCUGAAACACGAAAGCGUGGGUAGCGAAUGGGAUUAGAUACCCCGGU